This 828-nucleotide ribosomal RNA is filed under the name Staphylococcus aureus. RNAcentral describes it as "partial 23S ribosomal RNA". It matches the Rfam family "Bacterial large subunit ribosomal RNA", at positions 1286 to 2110 of the family's 2925-position model. Lineage: Bacteria; Bacillati; Bacillota; Bacilli; Caryophanales; Staphylococcaceae. The record is from RNAcentral.
AAGUGAGAAUGCCGGUGUGAGUAGCGAAAGACGGGUGAGAAUCCCGUCCACCGAUUGACUAAGGUUUCCAGAGGAAGGCUCGUCCGCUCUGGGUUAGUCGGGUCCUAAGCUGAGGCCGACAGGCGUAGGCGAUGGAUAACAGGUUGAUAUUCCUGUACCACCUAUAAUCGUUUUAAUCGAUGGGGGGACGCAGUAGGAUAGGCGAAGCGUGCGAUUGGAUUGCACGUCUAAGCAGUAAGGCUGAGUAUUAGGCAAAUCCGGUACUCGUUAAGGCUGAGCUGUGAUGGGGAGAAGACAUUGUGUCUUCGAGUCGUUGAUUUCACACUGCCGAGAAAAGCCUCUAGAUAGAAAAUAGGUGCCCGUACCGCAAACCGACACAGGUAGUCAAGAUGAGAAUUCUAAGGUGAGCGAGCGAACUCUCGUUAAGGAACUCGGCAAAAUGACCCCGUAACUUCGGGAGAAGGGGUGCUCUUUAGGGUUAACGCCCAGAAGAGCCGCAGUGAAUAGGCCCAAGCGACUGUUUAUCAAAAACACAGGUCUCUGCUAAACCGUAAGGUGAUGUAUAGGGGCUGACGCCUGCCCGGUGCUGGAAGGUUAAGAGGAGUGGUUAGCUUCUGCGAAGCUACGAAUCGAAGCCCCAGUAAACGGCGGCCGUAACUAUAACGGUCCUAAGGUAGCGAAAUUCCUUGUCGGGUAAGUUCCGACCCGCACGAAAGGCGUAACGAUUUGGGCACUGUCUCAACGAGAGACUCGGUGAAAUCAUAGUACCUGUGAAGAUGCAGGUUACCCGCGACAGGACGGAAAGACCCCGUGGAGCUUUACUGUAGC